RNAcentral lists this ribosomal RNA (924 nucleotides) under Amischa analis. Its description in RNAcentral is "SSU rRNA". It matches the Rfam family "Eukaryotic small subunit ribosomal RNA", at positions 439 to 1292 of the family's 1831-position model. The record is from RNAcentral. Lineage: Eukaryota; Metazoa; Arthropoda; Insecta; Coleoptera; Staphylinidae.
AAUUACCCACUCCCAGCACGGGGAGGUAGUGACGAAAAAUAACGAUACGGGACUCAUCCGAGGCCCCGUAAUCGGAAUGAGUACAAUUUAAAACUUUUUCCGAGGAUCAAUUGGAGGGUAAGUCUGGUGCCAGCAGCCGCGGUAAUUCCAGCUCCAAUAGCGUAUAUUAAAGUUGUUGCGGUUAAAAAGCUCGUAGUCGAAUCUGUGUCCCGCGCCGCUGGUUCAUCGCUCGCGGUGUUCAACUGGCGUGUUUCGCGGGACGUCCUGCCGGUGGGCGCUCGUAUCGUUUCGGCGGUGCGUGGCCCAGCUCGUAGCCGUCUCGCGCGGUUGCGAAUCUCAUCGCGGUGCUCUUUAUUGAGUGUCGAGGUGGGCCGGCACGUUUACUUUGAACAAAUUAGAGUGCUUAAAGCAGGCCAAUUUUGCCUGAAUAUUGUGUGCAUGGAAUAAUGGAAUAGGACCUCGGUUCUAUUUUGUUGGUUUUCGGAACCCCGAGGUAAUGAUUAAUAGGAACGGAUGGGGGCAUUCGUAUUGCGACGUUAGAGGUGAAAUUCUUGGAUCGUCGCAAGACGGACAGAAGCGAAAGCAUUUGCCAAAAACGCUUUCAUUGAUCAAGAACGAAAGUUAGAGGUUCGAAGGCGAUCAGAUACCGCCCUAGUUCUAACCAUAAACGAUGCCAGCUAGCGAUCCGCCGACGUUCCUCCGAUGACUCGGCGGGCAGCUUCCGGGAAACCAAAGCUUUUGGGUUCCGGGGGAAGUAUGGUUGCAAAGCUGAAACUUAAAGGAAUUGACGGAAGGGCACCACCAGGAGUGGAGCCUNNGGCUUAAUUUGACUCAACACGGGACACNUCACCAGGNCCGGACACCGGAAGGAUUGACAGAUUGAUANCUCUUUCUUGAUUCGGUGGGUGGUGGUGCAUGGCCGUU